This 88-nucleotide microRNA precursor is filed under the name Canis lupus familiaris (dog). RNAcentral's name for it is "mir-8799 microRNA precursor family". It matches the Rfam family "mir-8799 microRNA precursor family". Lineage: Eukaryota; Metazoa; Chordata; Mammalia; Carnivora; Canidae. The record is from Rfam by way of RNAcentral. RNAcentral also lists the same sequence under 1 other name.
CGGGGGAGGCCGGAUCCUGGGCUGUGUCCGGUCGCCCUGUGCUCUGGGUCUGCGCAGUUGGAUUUGGGCUCCAGCCUCGCAGCCCCCU